Molecule: ribosomal RNA, 406 nt
Filed under: uncultured bacterium
Lineage: Bacteria
Description: partial 16S ribosomal RNA
Rfam family: Bacterial small subunit ribosomal RNA
Source: RNAcentral
AUUGAACGCUGGCGGCAGGCCUAACACAUGCAAGUCGAGCGAGCGGCGGACGUGAGGGCAAUGUAUGGGGAUCUGCGCGAUAGAGGGGGAUAACUACUGGGAACGAAUGCUACUACCGCAUAGUAGAGGAUGAACCCAUAUGGGAUUAGCUAGUAGGUGGGGUAAAGGCUCACCUAGGCGACGAUCUCUAGCUGGUCUGAGAGGAUGAUCAGCCACACUGGAACUGAGACACGGUCCAGACUCCUACGGGAGGCAGCAGUGGGGAAUAUUGCACAAUGGGCGAAAGCCUGAUGCAGCCAUGCCGCGUGUAUGAAGAAGGCCUUCGGAUUGUAAAGUACUUUCAGCGGGGAGGCGUUACCAGCAGAAGAAGCACCGGCUAACUCCGUGCCAGCAGCCGCGGUAAUUC